GACGAACGCUGGCGGCGUGCUUAACACAUGCAAGUCGAACGGAAAGGCCCUGCUUUUGUGGGGUGCUCGAGUGGCGAACGGGUGAGUAACACGUGAGUAACCUGCCCUUGACUUUGGGAUAACUUCAGGAAACUGGGGCUAAUACCGGAUAGGAGCUCCUGCUGCAUGGUGGGGGUUGGAAAGUUUCGGCGGUUGGGGAUGGACUCGCGGCUUAUCAGCUUGUUGGUGGGGUAGUGGCUUACCAAGGCUUUGACGGGUCGCCGGCCUGAGAGGGUGACCGGCCACAUUGGGGCUGAGGUACGGCCCAGACUCCUACGGGAGGCAGCAGUGGGGAAUAUUGCAGAAUGGGCGGAAGCCUGAUGCAGCAACGCCGCGUGCGGGAUGACAGCCUUCGGGUUGUAAACCGCUUUCGCCUGUGACGAAGCGUGAGUGACGGUAAUGGGUAAAGAAGCACCGGCUAACUACGUG
This 468-nucleotide ribosomal RNA is filed under the name uncultured bacterium. Its description in RNAcentral is "partial 16S ribosomal RNA". It matches the Rfam family "Bacterial small subunit ribosomal RNA", at positions 28 to 507 of the family's 1533-position model. The record is from RNAcentral.